This is a non-coding RNA of Chlorocebus sabaeus (green monkey), 239 nucleotides long. It matches the Rfam family "Metazoan signal recognition particle RNA". From Rfam's summary of the family: The signal recognition particle (SRP) is a universally conserved ribonucleoprotein. Lineage: Eukaryota; Metazoa; Chordata; Mammalia; Primates; Cercopithecidae. The record is from Rfam.
GCCGGGCACGGUGGCUCAUGCCUGUAAUCCCAGCACUUUGGGAGGCCGGGUGGAUCACCUGAGGUCGGGAGUUUGAGACCAGGCUGACUAACAUGGAGAACCCUCAUCUCUACUAAAAAUACAAAAUUAGCCAGGCGNNNNNNNNNNCGCCUGGCUAAUUUUGUAUUUUUAGUAGAGAUGAGGGUUCUCCAUGUUAGUCAGCCUGGUCUCAAACUCCCGACCUCAGGUGAUCCACCCGG